Molecule: ribosomal RNA, 253 nt
Filed under: uncultured bacterium
Lineage: Bacteria
Description: partial 16S ribosomal RNA
Rfam family: Bacterial small subunit ribosomal RNA
Source: RNAcentral
UACGUAGGGGGCGAGCGUUAUCCGGAGUUACUGGGCGUAAAGGGCGUGCAGGCGGUCUGUUAAGUUCAGGGUGAAAGCUCCCGGCUCAACUGGGAGAGGUCCUUGGAUACUGGCAGACUUGAGGGAGGUAGAGGAGAGUGGAAUUCCCGGUGUAGUGGUGAUAUGCGUAGAUAUCGGGAGGAACACCAGUGGCGAAGGCGGCUCUCUGGGCCUUUCCUGACGCUGAGACGCGAAAGCGUGGGGAGCGAACCGG